CCUAGAGUUGUAGGCUUUGCCUGCCAACUCUUACCCAUGUCUUUUGAGUACCUUACGUUUCCUCGGUGGGUUCGCCCGCCGGCUGGACAAAACUUAAACCCUUUGUAGUUGCAAUCAGCGUCUGAAAAAACUUAAUAGUUA
Molecule: unclassified non-coding RNA, 141 nt
Filed under: soil metagenome
Description: partial internal transcribed spacer 1
Source: RNAcentral